RNAcentral lists this ribosomal RNA (690 nucleotides) under uncultured bacterium. RNAcentral's name for it is "bacterial SSU rRNA". It matches the Rfam family "Bacterial small subunit ribosomal RNA", at positions 125 to 818 of the family's 1533-position model. The record is from RNAcentral.
UCUGCCCAUCAGACGGGGACAACGAUUGGAAACGAUCGCUAAUACCGGAUAGGACGAAAGUUUAAAGGUGCUUCUGGCACCGCUGAUGGAUGAGCCUGCGGCGCAUUAGCUAGUUGGUAGGGUAAAGGCCUACCAAGGCGACGAUGCGUAGCCGACCUGAGAGGGUGAACGGCCACACUGGGACUGAGACACGGCCCAGACUCCUACGGGAGGCAGCAGUAGGGAAUCUUCGGCAAUGGGCGAAAGCCUGACCGAGCAACGCCGCGUGAAUGAUGAAGGCCUUCGGGUUGUAAAAUUCUGUUAUAAGGGAAGAACGACUUUAGUAGGAAAUGGCUAGAGUGUGACGGUACCUUAUGAGAAAGCCACGGCUAACUACGUGCCAGCAGCCGCGGUAAUACGUAGGUGGCGAGCGUUAUCCGGAAUUAUUGGGCGUAAAGAGCGCGCAGGUGGUUGAUUAAGUCUGAUGUGAAAGCCCACGGCUUAACCGUGGAGGGUCAUUGGAAACUGGUCGACUUGAGUGCAGAAGAGGGAAGUGGAAUUCCAUGUGUAGCGGUGAAAUGCGUAGAGAUAUGGAGGAACACCAGUGGCGAAGGCGGCUUCCUGGUCUGUAACUGACACUGAAGCGCGAAAGCGUGGGGAGCAAACAGGAUUAAAUACCCUGGUAGUCCACGCCGUAAACGAUUAUUGCUA